UACGGGGGGGGCAAGCGUUGUUCGGAAUUACUGGGCGUAAAGGGCGCGUAGGCGGUUGGAUAAGUCAGCUGUGAAAACCUCGGGCUUAACUCGUGGCCUGCAGUUGAGACUGUCUGGCUUGAGUGUGGGAGAGGAGAGUGGAAUUCCUGGUGUAGCGGUGAAAUGCGUAGAUAUCAGGAGGAACACCGGUGGCGAAGGCGGCUCUCUGGACCACAACUGACGCUGAGGCGCGAAAGCGUGGGGAGCGAACAGG
This 253-nucleotide ribosomal RNA is filed under the name uncultured bacterium. Its description in RNAcentral is "partial 16S ribosomal RNA". It matches the Rfam family "Bacterial small subunit ribosomal RNA", at positions 524 to 776 of the family's 1533-position model. The record is from RNAcentral.